GACCCUAUAGAGUUUGAUAUUUAGUAGAAUUUAUUUUUUUUAGAAUUUAUAAAUUGAAUUUUUCUAAUUAUUUGGUUGGGGUGAUUAAAAAAUUAAAAUAACUUUUUUUUUAUUGUUACAUUAAUUUAUGAGUAUUUGAUCCAUUUAUUAUGAUUAUAAGAUUAAAUUACCUUAGGGAUAACAGCGUAAUUUUUUUUGAGAGUUCAAAUCGAAAAAAAAGAUUGCGACCUCGAUGUUGGAUUAAAAUAAAUAUUUGGUGUAGAAGCUAAAUUAAUUGGGUCUGUUCGACCUUUAAAAUUUUACAUGAUCUGA
Molecule: ribosomal RNA, 312 nt
Filed under: Cycadophila fupingensis
Lineage: Eukaryota; Metazoa; Arthropoda; Insecta; Coleoptera; Erotylidae
Description: partial 16S ribosomal RNA
Rfam family: Bacterial large subunit ribosomal RNA (bases 177-312)
Source: RNAcentral